Molecule: ribosomal RNA, 253 nt
Filed under: uncultured bacterium
Lineage: Bacteria
Description: partial 16S ribosomal RNA
Rfam family: Bacterial small subunit ribosomal RNA
Source: RNAcentral
GACAGAGGGUGCAAACGUUGUUCGGAAUUACUGGGCGUAAAGCGUGCGCAGGCGGUGAUGUAAGACAGGUGUGAAAUCCCCGGGCUUAACCUGGGAACUGCAUUUGUGACUGCAUCGCUGGAGUGUGGCAGAGGAAGGUGGAAUUCCACGUGUAGCGGUGAAAUGCGUAGAGAUGUGGAGGAACACCGAUGGCGAAGGCGGCUCGCUGGGCCGUUCCUGACGCUGAGACGCGAAAGCUAGGGGAGCGAACAGG